CCCUACGGGGUGCAGCAGGCGCGAAACCUUUACAAUGCACGCAAGUGUGAUAGGGGAACCCUCAGUGCUCAUGCUUUGCAUGGGCUUUUGCCAAUAGUAAACAUAUUGGCGAAUAAGUGGUGGGUAAGACUGGUGCCAGCAGCCGCGGUAACACCAGCGCCACGAGUAGGGACCAUUUUUAUUUGGCCUAAAGCGUCCGUAGCUGGUUUAGUAAAUUUUUUGUGAAAUCAUUAGACACAAUCUAAUGGCGUACAGGAAAGACUGCUAGACUUGGAACCGGGAGGAGUCAGAGGUAUUUCUGGAGGAGCGGUAAAAUGCUGUAAUCCCAGGAGGACCGCCUGUGGCGAAGGCGUCUGACUAGAACGGAUUCGACAGUGAGGGACGAAAGCUAGGGGAGCGAUCCGGAUUAGAUACCCGAGUAGUCCUAGCUGUAAACGCUGUGAGCAAGGUGUUGCACAUUCCACGAGAAUGUACAGUGUCGAAACGAAGGUGUUAAGCUCACCGCCUGGGAAGUACGGUCGCAAGACUGAAACUUAAAGGAAUUGUCAAUGAGCAC
Molecule: ribosomal RNA, 556 nt
Filed under: uncultured archaeon
Lineage: Archaea
Description: bacterial SSU rRNA
Rfam family: Archaeal small subunit ribosomal RNA
Source: RNAcentral